RNAcentral lists this ribosomal RNA (492 nucleotides) under uncultured bacterium. RNAcentral's name for it is "partial 16S ribosomal RNA". It matches the Rfam family "Bacterial small subunit ribosomal RNA", at positions 29 to 507 of the family's 1533-position model. The record is from RNAcentral.
AGUGAACGCUGGCGGUAGGCCUAACACAUGCAAGUCGAACGGCAGCACAGUAAGAGCUUGCUCUUACGGGUGGCGAGUGGCGGACGGGUGAGGAAUACAUCGGAAUCUACUUUUUCGUGGGGGAUAACGUAGGGUAACUUACGCUAAUACCGCAUACGACCUACGGGUGAAAGCAGGGGAUCUUCGGACCUUGCGCGAUUGAAUGAGCCGAUGUCGGAUUAGCUAGUUGGGGUGGUAAAGGCCCACCAAGGCGACGAUCCGUAGCUGGUCUGAGAGGAUGAACAGCCAAACUGGAACAGAGACACGGUAAAGAAUCCUACGGGAGGAAGAAGUGGGGAAUAUUGGACAAUGGGCGCAAGCAUGAUACAGAAAUACCGCGUGGGUGAAGAAGGACUUCGGGUUGUAAAGACCUUUUGUUGGGAAAGAAAAGCAGCAGGUUAAUACCCCGCUGUUAUGACGGUACCAAAAGAAUAAGCACCGGCUAACUUCGUG